GAUGAACGCUAGCUACAGGCUUAACACAUGCAAGUCGAGGGGAAACGAUAGGGAAAGCUUGCUUUUUCUAGGCGUCGACCGGCGCACGGGUGAGUAACGCGUAUCCAACCUGCCCAUCACUUGGGGAUAACCUUGCGAAAGUAAGACUAAUACCCAAUGACGUCUCUAGAAGACAUCUGAAGGAGAUUAAAGAUUUAUCGGUGAUGGAUGGGGAUGCGCCUGAUUAGCUUGUUGGCGGGGUAACGGCCCACCAAGGCGACGAUCAGUAGGGGGUCUGGGAGGAAGGUCCCCCACAUUGGAACGGAGACACGGUCCAAACUCCUACGGGAGGCAGCAGUGAGGAAUAUUGGUCAAUGGACGAGAGUUUGAACCAGCCAAGUAGCGUGCAGGAAGACGGCCCUAUGGGUUGUAAACUGCUUUUAUAAGGGAAUAGAGUGAGUCUCGUGAGACUUUUUGCAUGUACCUUAUGAAUAAGGACCGGCUAAUUCCGUGCCAGCCGCCGCAGUAA
RNAcentral lists this ribosomal RNA (508 nucleotides) under uncultured bacterium. RNAcentral describes it as "partial 16S ribosomal RNA". It matches the Rfam family "Bacterial small subunit ribosomal RNA", at positions 28 to 523 of the family's 1533-position model. The record is from RNAcentral.